This 253-nucleotide ribosomal RNA is filed under the name uncultured bacterium. RNAcentral's name for it is "partial 16S ribosomal RNA". It matches the Rfam family "Bacterial small subunit ribosomal RNA", at positions 524 to 776 of the family's 1533-position model. The record is from RNAcentral.
CACGUAGGGCGCAAGCGUUGUCCGGAAUUAUUGGGCGUAAAGAGCUCGUAGGCGGAUUGUUAAGUCAGGGGUGAAAUCCUGGAGCUCAACUCCAGAACUGCCUUUGAUACUGGCGAUCUCGAGUCCGGGAGAGGUGAGUGGAACUGCGAGUGUAGAGGUGAAAUUCGUAGAUAUUCGCAAGAACACCAGUGGCGAAGGCGGCUCACUGGCCCGGUACUGACGCUGAGGUGCGAAAGCGUGGGGAGCAAACAGG